This 1296-nucleotide ribosomal RNA is filed under the name metagenome. RNAcentral describes it as "bacterial LSU rRNA". It matches the Rfam family "Bacterial large subunit ribosomal RNA", at positions 1639 to 2925 of the family's 2925-position model. The record is from RNAcentral.
CGACCGUACCGCAAACCGACACUGGUGCGCGAGAUGAGUAUUCUAAGGCGCUUGAGAGAACUCAGGAGAAGGAACUCGGCAAAUUGACACCGUAACUUCGGAAGAAGGUGUGCCUUUAGUAGGUGAAGUCCCUCGCGGAUGGAGCCCAAUGAGGUUGCAAAAAAUCGGUGGCUGCGACUGUUUAUUAAAAACACAGCACUCUGCAAACACGAAAGUGGACGUAUAGGGUGUGACGCCUGCCCGGUGCUGGAAGAUUAAAUGAUGGGGUGCAAGCUCUUGAUUGAAGUCCCAGUAAACGGCGGCCGUAACAAUAACGGUCCUAAGGUAGCGAAAUUCCUUGUCGGGUAAGUUCCGACCUGCACGAAUGGCGUAACGAUGGCCACACUGUCUCCUCCUGAGACUCAGCGAAGUUGAAAUGUUUGUGAUGAUGCAAUCUCCCCGCGGAAAGACGGAAAGACCCCAUGAACCUUUACUGUAGCUUUGUAUUGGACUUUGAACAGAUCUGUGUAGGAUAGGUGGUAGGCUUUGAAGCAGGGUCGCUAGAUCUUGUGGAGCCAACGUUGAAAUACCACCCUGGUGUGUUUGAGGUUCUAACCUAGGCCCGUAAUCCGGGUUGGGGACAGUGCAUGGUAGGCAGUUUGACUGGGGCGGUCUCCUCCCAAAGUGUAACGGAGGAGUUCGAAGGUACGCUAGUUACGGUCGGACAUCGUGACGAUAGUGCAAUGGCAUAAGCGUGCUUAACUGCGAGACUGACAAGUCGAGCAGAUGCGAAAGCAGGACAUAGUGAUCCGGUGGUUCUGUAUGGAAGGGCCAUCGCUCAACGGAUAAAAGGUACUCUGGGGAUAACAGGCUGAUACCGCCCAAGAGUUCAUAUCGACGGCGGUGUUUGGCACCUCGAUGUCGGCUCAUCUCAUCCUGGGGCUGUAGCCGGUCCCAAGGGUAUGGCUGUUCGCCAUUUAAAGAGGUACGUGAGCUGGGUUUAAAACGUCGUGAGACAGUUUGGUCCCUAUCUUCCGUGGACGCUGCAGAUUUGAGGAAGCCUGCUCCUAGUACGAGAGGACCGGAGUGGACGCACCUCUGGUGUAUCGGUUGUCACGCCAGUGGCAUUGCCGAGUAGCUAUGUGCGGAAGAGAUAACCGCUGAAAGCAUCUAAGCGGGAAACUCGUUUCGAGAUGAGAUCUGCCGGGGCCUUGAGCCCCCUGAAGAGUCGUUCAAGACCAGGACGUUGAUAGGUCGGGUGUGGAAGCGCAGUAAUGCGUUAAGCUAACCGAUACUAAUUGCUCGUGCGGCUUGACC